Molecule: non-coding RNA, 114 nt
Organism: Caerostris extrusa
Lineage: Eukaryota; Metazoa; Arthropoda; Arachnida; Araneae; Araneidae
Source: the annotation of a GenBank genome assembly
AACGGCCAUACCAUGCUGAAUAUACUCGGUUUUCGUUAGAUCACCGAAGUCAAGCCAUCAUUGGGCGCGGUCAGUACUUGGGUGGGUGACCACCUGGGAACACCGCGUGCCGUU